This 767-nucleotide ribosomal RNA is filed under the name uncultured bacterium. RNAcentral's name for it is "bacterial SSU rRNA". It matches the Rfam family "Bacterial small subunit ribosomal RNA", at positions 62 to 862 of the family's 1533-position model. The record is from RNAcentral.
UCGAACGAGAAAGGGGAGCAAUCCCUGAGUACAGUGGCGUACGGGUGAGUAACACGUGGAUGAUCUACCCCUUAGUUUGGAAUAACCAUGGGAAACCGUGGCUAAUACCGGAUAAGCUCGAGAGAGGAAAGCAGCAAUGCGCUGAGGGAGGAGUCCGCGGCCGAUUAGCUAGUUGGUAGGGUAAAAGCCUACCAAGGCAAAGAUCGGUAGCCGGCCUGAGAGGGCACACGGCCACACUGGCACUGAAACACGGGCCAGACUCCUACGGGAGGCAGCAGUGGGGAAUCUUGCACAAUGGGGGAAACCCUGAUGCAGCGACGCCGCGUGAGCGAUGAAGCCCUUCGGGGUGUAAAGCUCUUUCGUCAGGGAAGAUGGUGACGGUACCUGGAGAAGCAGCUGCGGCUAACUACGUGCCAGCAGCCGCGGUAAUACGUAGGCAGCAAGCGUUGUUCGGAGUUACUGGGCGUAAAGGGUGUGUAGGCGGUUUUUUAAGUUUGGUGUGAAAUCUCCCGGCUCAACUGGGAGGGUGCGCCGAAUACUGAAAGACUAGAGUGCGGGAGAGGAAAGUGGAAUUCCUGGUGUAGCGGUGAAAUGCGUAGAUAUCAGGAGGAACACCGGUGGUGUAGACGGCUUUCUGGACCGUAACUGACGCUGAGACACGAAAGCGUGGGUAGCAAACAGGAUUAGAUACCCUGGUAGUCCACGCCCUAAACGAUGCAUAUUUGGUGUGGGCAGUUCAUUCUGUCCGUGCCGGAGCUAACGCGUUA